This 421-nucleotide long non-coding RNA is filed under the name Mytilus galloprovincialis (Mediterranean mussel). The record is from RNAcentral. Lineage: Eukaryota; Metazoa; Mollusca; Bivalvia; Mytilida; Mytilidae.
UAGCUAUAGGUUAAAGACAGUGCAUAUGAUAAUCAAGAUGUUUUUGUCGUUGAGACGACCCCUCAAAUUUACCUGUAAACUGUAGGUGUCAUUUGUCGGUGUCGAGAGUUGUUGAAAAGGUCUAUUAGGAAAGCAUAGGUAUCAAGUAUAAAGACUGGAGAUUGUUAUCAUCCUAUUUGUAAGUUAAUAGGAAAGAUGCACGUGUUUGUGAUAUUCUAAAAUCUUUGAACGGCGUAGGUCUUUAUGUAGGAUUUAGUUUUUUUCUGUGAGUGCCAAUUUGGUAAGGUUGACAUUCCAAAAAAUGAUUUUCGCUCAUAAAACAUUGUCAUUUGUUUGAAGAUUGGUCUGUUGGAAGGACAAUCCAGACCAGAUGUUUGUUUCUGUACAUCACAUGUGAAUCAAGAUCUGCUUACACUUCGGC